This 499-nucleotide ribosomal RNA is filed under the name uncultured bacterium. RNAcentral describes it as "bacterial SSU rRNA". It matches the Rfam family "Bacterial small subunit ribosomal RNA", at positions 30 to 524 of the family's 1533-position model. The record is from RNAcentral.
AUUGAACGCUGGCGGCAUGCCUUACACAUGCAAGUCGAACGGCAGCGGGCCUUCGGGUGCCGGCGAGUGGCGAACGGGUGAGUAAUGCUUCGGAAUCUUCCUCGUAGUGGGGAAUAACCUGGGGAAACUCAGGCUAAUACCGCAUACGAACUACGGUUGAAAGCAGGGGAUCGCAAGACCUUGCGCUAUGAGAUGAGCCGAAGUCGGAUUAGCUAGUUGGUGAGGUAAAGGCUCACCAAGGCGACGAUCCGUAGCUGGUCUGAGAGGACGACCAGCCACACUGGGACUGAGACACGGCCCAGACUCCUACGGGAGGCAGCAGUGGGGAAUAUUGGACAAUGGGGGCAACCCUGAUCCAGCGACGCCGCGUGUGUGAAGAAGGCCUGCGGGUUGUAAAGCACUUUUAGUGGGGAUGAAAAGCCAAGGGUUAAUACCCUUUGGUCUUGACCUAACCCAAAGAAAAAGCACCGGCUAACUCUGUGCCAGCAGCCGCGGUAAU